Molecule: ribosomal RNA, 734 nt
Filed under: uncultured bacterium
Lineage: Bacteria
Description: bacterial SSU rRNA
Rfam family: Bacterial small subunit ribosomal RNA
Source: RNAcentral
GCAGUCGACGCUUCUUUCUCCCGAGUGCUUGCACUCAUUUGGAAAGAGGAGUGGCGGACGGGUGAGUAACACGUGGGUAACCUACCCAUCAGAGGGGGAUAACACUUGGAAACAGGUGCUAAUACCGCAUAACAGUUUAUGCCGCAUGGCAUAAGAGUGAAAGGCGCUUUCGGGUGUCACUGAUGGAUGGACCCGCGGUGCAUUAGCUAGUUGGUGAGGUAACGGCUCACCAAGGCCACGAUGCAUAGCCGACCUGAGAGGGUGAUCGGCCACACUGGGACUGAGACACGGCCCAGACUCCUACGGGAGGCAGCAGUAGGGAAUCUUCGGCAAUGGACGAAAGUCUGGCCGAGCAACGCCGCGUGAGUGAAGAAGGUUUUCGGAUCGUAAAACUCUGUUGUUAGAGAAGAACAAGGACGUUAGUAACUGAACGUCCCCUGACGGUAUCUAACCAGAAAGCCACGGCUAACUACGUGCCAGCAGCCGCGGUAAUACGUAGGUGGCAAGCGUUGUCCGGAUUUAUUGGGCGUAAAGCGAGCGCAGGCGGUUUCUUAAGUCUGAUGUGAAAGCCCCCGGCUCAACCGGGGAGGGUCAUUGGAAACUGGGAGACUUGAGUGCAGAAGAGGAGAGUGGAAUUCCAUGUGUAGCGGUGAAAUGCGUAGAUAUAUGGAGGAACCCAGUGGCGAGGCGGCUCUCUGGUCUUAACUGACGCUGAGCUCGAAAGCGUGGGAGCA